AUGAUAGAGUUAUAUGAACAAUUACUUAUAAAUUCAAAUAUAGGCCGUUUCGUUCGUCCUAUUCUGAUAUUCAGGACCAAGAGGUAUUGAAUUCUCUUUUGGAUAGGCCCUGAAAGGAGAAGAAAGGCUGAAAUGCCAAUGGGCCUCUGUCUAUUCUCUAAUUGACCCGAUCCGAUAGUACCCGUUUUUGGAACGUCCAGUGCCAAAGUCACUGAAUGGUAA
RNAcentral lists this ribosomal RNA (222 nucleotides) under Triticum aestivum (bread wheat). RNAcentral's name for it is "partial small subunit ribosomal RNA". Lineage: Eukaryota; Viridiplantae; Streptophyta; Magnoliopsida; Poales; Poaceae. The record is from RNAcentral.